RNAcentral lists this ribosomal RNA (541 nucleotides) under Fermentozyma sake. RNAcentral describes it as "[Candida] sake partial large subunit ribosomal RNA". It matches the Rfam family "Eukaryotic large subunit ribosomal RNA", at positions 62 to 629 of the family's 3401-position model. Lineage: Eukaryota; Fungi; Ascomycota; Pichiomycetes; Serinales; Debaryomycetaceae. The record is from RNAcentral.
AAACCAACCGGGAUUGCCUCAGUAACGGCGAGUGAAGCGGCAAAAGCUCAAAUUUGAAAUCUGCGUAAGCCGAGUUGUAAUUUGAAGAUGGCUACUUUGGUAAUGGCUCUUGUCUAUGUUCCUUGGAACAGGACGUCACAGAGGGUGAGAAUCCCGUGCGAUGAGAUGUCCAUUACCGUGUAAAGUGCUUUCGAAGAGUCGAGUUGUUUGGGAAUGCAGCUCUAAGUGGGUGGUAAAUUCCAUCUAAAGCUAAAUAUUGGCGAGAGACCGAUAGCGAACAAGUACAGUGAUGGAAAGAUGAAAAGAACUUUGAAAAGAGAGUGAAAAAGUACGUGAAAUUGUUGAAAGGGAAGGGCUUGAGAUCAGACUUGGUAUUUUGUAUGGCUUGCUUUCGGGCGGGUCCUCUGCAGUUUACUGGGCCAGCAUCGGUUUGGGUGGCAGGAUAAUAGCAUAGGAAUGUGGCUCUACUUCGGUGGAGUGUUAUAGCCUUUGUUGAUACUGCCUGCCUAGACCGAGGACUGCGUCUUUGACUAGAUGCUGC